GAGUGACGGGUGCCUGGUGGCCCCCACGGUCUUCAAAACCGUUGUCGACCCGUUCUGCGGGCGAGGUGGGUUCGAUUCCUACCCUCUC
RNAcentral lists this transfer RNA (88 nucleotides) under marine eukaryotic metagenome. Its description in RNAcentral is "Selenocysteine transfer RNA". It matches the Rfam family "Selenocysteine transfer RNA". The record is from RNAcentral.